Molecule: ribosomal RNA, 789 nt
Filed under: uncultured bacterium
Lineage: Bacteria
Description: bacterial SSU rRNA
Rfam family: Bacterial small subunit ribosomal RNA
Source: RNAcentral
AGAGUUUGAUCCUGGCUCAGGACGAACGCUGGCGGCGUGCUUAACACAUGCAAGUCGAACGGGAUCCUGGCUUCGGUCAGGUGAGAGUGGCGAACGGGUGAGUAACGCGUAGGCAAUCUGCCCUUGGGUGGGGGAUAGCCCCGGGAAACCGGGAUUAAUACCGCAUGACGCGUCGGGGUCGCAUGGCCUUGGCGUUAAAGAUUUAUCGCCCAGGGAUGAGCCUGCGUUGCAUUAGCUAGUUGGUGGGGUAACGGCUCACCAAGGCGACGAUGCAUAGCUGGUCUGAGAGGAUGAUCAGCCACACUGGGACUGAGAUACGGCCCAGACUCCUACGGGAGGCAGCAGUGAGGAAUAUUGGACAAUGGGCGCAAGCCUGAUCCAGCAACGCCGCGUGAACGAUGACGCUGCUCUGCAGUGUAAAGUUCUGUAAGGAGGGACGAGGACCGGGGUAUUGCCCCGGGGGGACGGUACCUCUUAAGUAAGCACCGGCUAACUCCGUGCCAGCAGCCGCGGUAAUACGGGGGGUGCAAGCGUUGUCCGGAUUUAUUGGGCGUAAAGGGCUCGUAGGCGGGAUGGUAAGUCUGGCGUGAAAUCUCUCGGCUCAACCGGGAAGCUGCGCUGGAAACUGCCGUUCUUGAGUCACGGAGAGGAAGUUGGAAUUCCUGGUGUAGCGGUGGAAUGCGUAGAUAUCAGGAAGAACACCAAUAGCGAAGGCAAACUUCUGGCCGUCGACUGACGCUGAGGAGCGACAGCGUGGGGAGCGAACAGGAUUAGAUACCCUGGUAGUCC